UCUCAAUCUUCUCUUGUUUAAGUAGACUUUCAGUGUUUGCUGAAAGUUUGGAAAGUUCAUCUGAAAAUCACAAUGUUUAUUUCAAUUCUGGAUGUUAUAUGAGUCUUCAAAUAUUGAAUCUUAGAAUAAGCAAUCAGUGAUCAAUUGAAGUAUACAAUACUUUUAAAAUUAGCACUGUUAGAACUGCCUUGUUGUUUAAUAGAAUAAUAGUCCUGUCUUAUUUAUCCCAGCACACUCUUAAUACAUGAGUUUGAUUAUUCCUGGACACAAAUAAAAUGGAUUUGUUGAGGAACAGGGCAGUUCUAUACAGUACUGACUUAUAGGAGGAUUGUGUUCUUCAG
Paramuricea clavata is the source of this 341-nucleotide non-coding RNA. NCBI's taxonomy places the organism in Eukaryota, Metazoa, Cnidaria, Anthozoa, Malacalcyonacea, Plexauridae. The record is from the annotation of a GenBank genome assembly.